AACGAACGCUGGCGGCAGGCCUAACACAUGCAAGUCGAACGCUCCGCAAGGGGGAGUGGCGCACGGGUGAGUAACACGUGGGAACCUACCUUCUGGUACGGAACAACCAAGGGAAACUCUGGCUGAUACCGUAUACGACCUCCGGGUGAAAGAUUGAUCGCCGGAAGAGGGGCCCGCGUCCGAUUAGCUAGUUGGUGGGGUAAUGGCUCACCAAGGCAUCGAUCGGUAACCGGCCUGAGAGGGCGGACGGUCACACUGGGACUGAGACACGGCCCAGACUCCUACGGGAGGCAGCAGUAGGGAAUUGUUCGCAAUGGGCGCAAGCCUGACGACGCAACGCCGCGUGGAAGAUGAAGACCUU
RNAcentral lists this ribosomal RNA (361 nucleotides) under uncultured bacterium. RNAcentral describes it as "bacterial SSU rRNA". It matches the Rfam family "Bacterial small subunit ribosomal RNA", at positions 29 to 418 of the family's 1533-position model. The record is from RNAcentral.